GGAGUUGUGGCUUAGCAGUAGAGCACAUGCCUAGCAUGCAUGAGGCACUGGGUUCAAUCCUCAGCACCA
Molecule: transfer RNA, 69 nt
Filed under: Ictidomys tridecemlineatus (thirteen-lined ground squirrel)
Lineage: Eukaryota; Metazoa; Chordata; Mammalia; Rodentia; Sciuridae
Description: Spermophilus tridecemlineatus (thirteen-lined ground squirrel) tRNA
Rfam family: tRNA
About the family: Transfer RNA (tRNA) molecules are approximately 80 nucleotides in length.
Source: Rfam by way of RNAcentral